CGUAACAAGGUCUCCGUAGGUGAACCUGCGGAGGGAUCAUUACACAAAUAUGAAGGCGGGCUGGAACCUCUCGGGGUUACAGCCUUGCUGAAUUAUUCACCCUUGUCUUUUGCGUACUUCUUGUUUCCUUGGUGGGUUCGCCCACCACUAGGACAAACAUAAACCUUUUGUAAUUGCAAUCAGCGUCAGUAACAAAUUAAUAAUUACAACUUUCAACAACGGAUCUCUUGGUUCUGGCAUCGAUGAAGAACGCAGCGAAAUGCGAUAAGUAGUGUGAAUUGCAGAAUUCAGUGAAUCAUCGAAUCUUUGAACGCACAUUGCGCCCUUUGGUAUUCCAAAGGGCAUGCCUGUUCGAGCGUCAUUUGUACCCUCAAGCUUUGCUAGGUGUUGGGCGUCUUGUCUCUAGCUUUGCUGGAGACUCGCCUUAAAGUAAUUGGCAGCCGGCCUACUGGUUUCGGAGCGCAGCACAAGUCGCACUCUCUAUCAGCAAAGGUCUAGCAUCCAUUAAGCCUUUUUUUCAACUUUUGACCUCGGAUCAGGUAGGGAUACCCGCUGAACUUAAGCAUAUCA
RNAcentral lists this ribosomal RNA (570 nucleotides) under uncultured fungus. RNAcentral's name for it is "eukaryotic LSU rRNA". The stretch from base 208 to 361 matches the Rfam family "5.8S ribosomal RNA". The record is from RNAcentral. Lineage: Eukaryota; Fungi.